GAUGAACGCUGGCGGCGUGCCUAAUACAUGCAAGUCGAGCGAACAGACGAGGAGCUUGCUCCUCUGACGUUAGCGGCGGACGGGUGAGUAACACGUGGAUAACCUACCUAUAAGACUGGGAUAACUUCGGGAAACCGGAGCUAAUACCGGAUAAUAUAUUGAACCGCAUGGUUCAAUAGUGAAAGACGGUUUUGCUGUCACUUAUAGAUGGAUCCGCGCCGCAUUAGCUAGUUGGUAAGGUAACGGCUUACCAAGGCAACGAUGCGUAGCCGACCUGAGAGGGUGAUCGGCCACACUGGUACUGAGACACGGUCCAGACUCCUACGGGAGGCAGCAGUAGGGAAUCUUCCGCAAAGGGCGAAAGCCUGACGGAGCAACGCCGCGUGAGUGAUGAAAGUCUUCGGAUCGUAAAACUCUGUUAUUAGGGAAGAACAAAUGUGUAAGUAACUAUGCACGUCUUGACGGUACCUAAUCAGAAAGCCACGGCUAACUACGUG
This 497-nucleotide ribosomal RNA is filed under the name uncultured bacterium. RNAcentral describes it as "partial 16S ribosomal RNA". It matches the Rfam family "Bacterial small subunit ribosomal RNA", at positions 28 to 507 of the family's 1533-position model. The record is from RNAcentral.